Molecule: ribosomal RNA, 492 nt
Filed under: uncultured bacterium
Lineage: Bacteria
Description: partial 16S ribosomal RNA
Rfam family: Bacterial small subunit ribosomal RNA
Source: RNAcentral
AGUGAACGCUGGCGGUAGACCUAACACAUGCAAGUCGAACGGCAGCACAGUAAGAGCUUGCUCUUACGGGUGGCGAGUGGCGGACGGGUGAGGAAUACAUCGGAAUCUACUUUUUCGUGGGGGAUAACGUAGGGAAACUUACGCUAAUACCGCAUACGACCUACGGGUGAAAGCAGGGGAUCUUCGGACCUUGCGCGAUUGAAUGAGCCGAUGUCGGAUUAGCUAGUUGGCGGGGUAAAGGCCCACCAAGGCGACGAUCCGUAGCUGGUGUGAGAGGAUGGUCAGCCACACGGGAGGUGGGACACGGUCCAGGCUCCUACGGGAGGGAGCAGUGGGGAAUAUUAGACAAUGGGGGCAAGCCUGACACAGCCAGACCGAGUGGGUGAAGGAGGCCUUCGGGUUGUGAAGCCGUUUUGUUGGGAAAGAACAGCAGCAGGUUGAUACGACGCGGUAGUGACGGUACCGGAAAAAGAAGCACCGGCUAACUUCGUG